RNAcentral lists this ribosomal RNA (468 nucleotides) under uncultured bacterium. Its description in RNAcentral is "partial 16S ribosomal RNA". It matches the Rfam family "Bacterial small subunit ribosomal RNA", at positions 28 to 507 of the family's 1533-position model. The record is from RNAcentral.
GACGAACGCUGGCGGCGUGCUUAACACAUGCAAGUCGAACGGAAAGGCCCUGCUUUUGUGGGGUUCUCGAGUGGCGAACGGGUGAGUAACACGUGAGUAACCUGCCCUUGACUUUGGGAUAACUUCAGGCAACUGGGGCUAAUACCGGAUAGGAGCUCCUGCUGCAUGGUGGGGGUUGGAAAGUUUCGGCGGUUGGGGAUGGACUCGCGGCUUAUCAGCUUGUUGGUGGGGUAGUGGCUUACCAAGGCUUUGACGGGUAGCCGGCAUGAGAGGGUGACCGGAGACAUUGGGACUGAGAGAAGGCCCAGAGUCCUACGGGAGGCAGCAGGGGGGAAGAUUGCACAAUGGGCGGAAGCCUGAUGCAGAAACGCCGCGUGCGGGAAGACGGCCUUCGGGUUGUAAACAGCUUUCGCCUGUGACGAAGCGUGAGUGACGGUAAUGGGUAAAGAAGCACCGGCUAACUACGUG